CGCGGGGUAGAGCAGCAGGAAGCUCGUCGGGCUCAUAACCCGGAGGUCGCUGGUUCGAAUCCAGCCCCCGCUACCA
This 76-nucleotide transfer RNA is filed under the name Planctomycetes bacterium ADurb.Bin069. RNAcentral describes it as "tRNA-Met". It matches the Rfam family "tRNA". From Rfam's summary of the family: Transfer RNA (tRNA) molecules are approximately 80 nucleotides in length. Their secondary structure includes four short double-helical elements and three loops (D, anti-codon, and T loops). RNAcentral also lists the same sequence under 1 other name. The record is from RNAcentral. Lineage: Bacteria; Pseudomonadati; Planctomycetota.